Molecule: long non-coding RNA, 789 nt
Filed under: Olea europaea (common olive)
Lineage: Eukaryota; Viridiplantae; Streptophyta; Magnoliopsida; Lamiales; Oleaceae
Description: long non-coding RNA (OEUR_LNC014652)
Source: RNAcentral
AACAAUUUGGAAUCAUAUCUUUUAUCAAACAUUAAUAAAAGUAGUUCUAACAAAUAAUAAAAAUAGGACUAAUUGAAAGUUAUGAGGUGACUCACAAUUGAGUCUAAAUUUAAAAAUAAUAAUAAUCAACUGUUAUUAAAUAUUCUAGUGUUUCUAAAAAUUAAAGUACUUCAUGAUGGAGAUCCAUUGGUCCAAUAUGCAUUCAUCCACCGCCGUCCAGCAUACUAAUUUCUACCUGAAAAUUGUAAAUAGAGAGGGAUGAGUAUAACGAAUUAUACUCAAUGAUAUGCUUGUUACUCCACAUUCAAAUCAAACGUGAAAUUAUGCAUAAAUUCUCUUACCAACAUAACAUGAGAUUUAUCACACCAUGACAAAUGAUAAUUCAAGCAAGCGCUGCAAAUAACGUGAGGGCUAAAUUGUGCCUUAAACUGUAUCAUGAUUUCUUCCAAAGGAGCUCUGAACUGAAGUAAUUAAAUCCAUACAUAACAACGUAUUUGAAAAGAUGUGGACAAACCACUAAUAGCACUGAGCAUCUCACCUUUUGAAGAUGAACGUGGAAAACAAAAUUGCUGAAAACGUGAUUCUUUAUUGAAAUUCCAAAGCCUUAAAAAGCCUUAAUAAUAUGGAGAAAUAUUUUUAAAGAGGAGGAGAGAAUAAAGACUUGUAGAAGAAGAAUGAGGAAUUAAUGACUAAAUGCUUGAGGUUUAGUGCUAUAUUUAUACUAAACCAUGGUGUAGGGUAAUCACGUGGGAAGUGGAAUUUUGAUAAGUUUUGAAUUCUAAAUUUUCG